CGGUGGUUAUAGCAAAGAGGCCACACCUGUUCCCAUCCCGAACACAGUAGUUAAGCUCUUUUACGCCUUGGGUACUUCGGGCGCAGGCCCGCGGAAGAGUAGGCAGCUGCCG
RNAcentral lists this ribosomal RNA (112 nucleotides) under bovine gut metagenome. The record is from RNAcentral.